Molecule: ribosomal RNA, 937 nt
Filed under: Salmonella enterica subsp. enterica serovar Cotham
Lineage: Bacteria; Pseudomonadati; Pseudomonadota; Gammaproteobacteria; Enterobacterales; Enterobacteriaceae
Description: partial 23S ribosomal RNA
Rfam family: Bacterial large subunit ribosomal RNA
Source: RNAcentral
UGACAGCCCCGUACACAAAAGCGCAUGUGCUGUGAGCUCGAUGAGUAGGGCGGGACACGUGGUAUCCUGUCUGAAUAUGGGGGGACCAUCCUCCAAGGCUAAAUACUCCUGACUGACCGAUAGUGAACCAGUACCGUGAGGGAAAGGCGAAAAGAACCCCGGCGAGGGGAGUGAAAAAGAACCUGAAACCGUGUACGUACAAGCAGUGGGAGCACCCUUUGGGGUGUGACUGCGUACCUUUUGUAUAAUGGGUCAGCGACUUAUAUUCUGUAGCAAGGUUAACCGUAUAGGGGAGCCGCAGGGAAACCGAGUCUUAACCGGGCGUUAAGUUGCAGGGUAUAGACCCGAAACCCGGUGAUCUAGCCAUGGGCAGGUUGAAGGUUGGGUAACACUAACUGGAGGACCGAACCGACUAAUGUUGAAAAAUUAGCGGAUGACCUGUGGCUGGGGGUGAAAGGCCAAUCAAACCGGGAGAUAGCUGGUUCUCCCCGAAAGCUAUUUAGGUAGCGCCUCGUGAAUUCAUCUCCGGGGGUAGAGCACUGUUUCGGCUAGGGGGCCAUCCCGGCUUACCAACCCGAUGCAAACUGCGAAUACCGGAGAAUGUUAUCACGGGAGACACACGGCGGGUGCUAACGUCCGUCGUGAAGAGGGAAACAACCCAGACCGCCAGCUAAGGUCCCAAAGUCAUGGUUAAGUGGGAAACGAUGUGGGAAGGCCCAGACAGCCAGGAUGUUGGCUUAGAAGCAGCCAUCAUUUAAAGAAAGCGUAAUAGCUCACUGGUCGAGUCGGCCUGCGCGGAAGAUGUAACGGGGCUAAACCAUGCACCGAAGCUGCGGCAGCGAACGUAUCACCCAAGACAACUUUACGGAGUUAACGAUUGACGGAGCGAAGCGACGUCAAAGCGUUCAUUAAAGUCGAGUUGGCUUAGGGAUACGUU